AGCUCUGGGGUGUUAUCAUGUCAGAUUGCAAAUCUGAAGAAGCGGGCUAGCCGCCCGUCGGGGCUU
RNAcentral lists this transfer RNA (66 nucleotides) under Arnoglossus tenuis (dwarf lefteye flounder). RNAcentral describes it as "tRNA-Cys". Lineage: Eukaryota; Metazoa; Chordata; Actinopteri; Pleuronectiformes; Bothidae. The record is from RNAcentral.